This 253-nucleotide ribosomal RNA is filed under the name uncultured bacterium. RNAcentral describes it as "partial 16S ribosomal RNA". It matches the Rfam family "Bacterial small subunit ribosomal RNA", at positions 524 to 776 of the family's 1533-position model. The record is from RNAcentral.
UACGUAGGGUGCAAGCGUUGUCCGGAAUUAUUGGGCGUAAAGCGUGCGCAGGCGGUUUGUUAAGUCUGCUGUGAAAUCCCCGAGCUCAACUUGGGAAUUGCAGUGGAUACUGGCAGGCUGGAGUAUGGUAGAGGAAGGUGGAAUUCCCGGUGUAGCAGUGAAAUGCGUAGAGAUCGGGAGGAACACCAGUGGCGAAGGCGGCCUUCUGGACCAAUACUGACGCUCAUGCACGAAAGCGUGGGGAGCAAACAGG